GGAACGUCCCGCCGGCUUCACCGCAGGCCGGCAUCUCAGCCUCAGGCCCCACAGCGGGUCUCCCGUCUCCACCCUCGCGGGCUCUGCAGGGCUGGGGCUGCUCCUGAGUUUCUGGUAAGGCCUUCGGGAGUCCCAGCUCUGCGGAGACCAAAGCCCCCACAUCCUCGGCAGAGCCCGGGCGAGUGCCCCGCGGGUGGCGGCGGCUGUGGGGCCGUCUGGGAUUCUCCGCAGCACUGACCCUGCAACCUCCUGUGUCUGCGCUUCGUGGUGAGGGGCGGCGGGAUGCGCGCGAUCCCUUUUUGACUCAGCCAAACGGAAAAGCUCGCGCGUCCCGGCUGGAAGGUGGAGGUCAGGCAGGACCCGGCAAAGGCACAUUCCAAACGAAGCAGACCCCAUUCCUCACCUGCAGAGGGAAGGCGGUGUGGACGGACAGAAACGGCCCUCACAGCCACAGAACCACCGCGGCCACAGCAGCGCGGCGUCCGGCAGGGAGCGGACCGUGGUGGAGGCCUCUGAGCCGAGCAGGCCACGCAGACCCGGGAGGCGCUGAAGCGGGCGCAGCUGCGCCCUGGAGCAGGCAGACCAGGCCACGGCGGAGGGAGAGGCCCGGGGACGCGGCGCAGCCCCUGCGGAGAGGCACGGGGGCGGCGGGGACGCCCUCCCACUGGCUGAAAUGCCAGGGACCGGCCUGGGCGUGGAGCAGCCGGGGCGAGCCCGCCUCCAGGCACCGCCGGCUGCCCUAGGCAGGGCCUGCAGGAGUGGCCCGGAGCCGGGCACCGAGGCACCGAGGCGGGGACCUGGAGGGGGCAUUCGGUGCUGACUACAGGUCUACAGUCUAAGUCCAGCGCCUGAAGCUGAGGUGUGUGGAUUCCACACUGAUCGUGUCCCCUACACGCUCAUCUUCCGUGUACAGAACGGAGACUCCUUCCUCCACCUACCCAGAGACGCCUGUGUAACUGACUCUUCCUUUACUCCCUUUCCCUCGCCGGUCAUUCGCCUUACCUUAUGGAAAGUGUAAAUUAGGCACUGAGGAACGUCUCACAGGAAUGCAGCCUUCAGCCUUCCUGCCUGCUGGCCCCUCUUCCUACCUGCCCCCGGCCCCGCUUAAGGAAAUGCGCCAACAGGAAGCCUCCUGAAAAGCUCUUUGGAGAAACAGCCGCAGCUGUGUCUGUGGCUGGUGUUUUUCCCAGGUGAACCCUAAAGCUGGCUUGAAAAACCUAAAUGAGCCGAGUGCAGUGGCUCACGCCUGUAAUCCCAGCACUUUGGGAGGCCGAGGUGGGUGGAUCACCUCAGGUCAGGAGUUCAAGACCAGCCUGGCUAACAUGGCGAAAGUCCAUCUCUACUAAAUAUACAAAAAUUAGCCGGGUGUGGUGGUGCAUGUCUAUAGUCCCAGCUACUCAGGAGGCUGAGACAGGAGAAUCGCUUGAGCCCGGGAGGCAGAG
Molecule: long non-coding RNA, 1442 nt
Filed under: Homo sapiens (human)
Lineage: Eukaryota; Metazoa; Chordata; Mammalia; Primates; Hominidae
Description: HSALNT0324717
Source: RNAcentral